UUAACUUUAUUUUGCUGGAUCAUGUUUUCUUUCAACUGAUAUCCUAGGGCUGAGUUAUGUGGCACCAUCGUAUUGACUUCCUUGCGGAAAGUAUUAUGACCUACUUCAGCUAAUGAAUGAAGUGCUGCCUUUGUGUCACCUUUCAGCCAAACACCAUAGAAUUGAAUGCCUUUGUUAUGUGGUUGUUGAUGUUUCCAAGGUACCUAUGAUCUAGGGUUUGUUGAUGUAGAAUUGUUUAUCCUGUCAAUCAGUAGAGUAUAAAUAUCAAGUGCAUUGAAGCCUACUUAAACCACACGUAACUUUAUAUUUGCUUGUGUUUGCAGGAUGCUUCAGAACAAAGGAGAAGUGACACUAUAAGUUCCUUCUCAACUGAAAUCAUACUACUGGCUAAAGAGGCCAACAAGAAGACAUGGAAUAGGGCGUAUAUGACUUAUUAGCCCAAAUUGGUCAUGUAUGUGGAGAUGAAGGGCAAGGUGGCAAACAAGAAGAUUUGCAACAACUAUCUAACAUGGUUAGAAUUUAUGAAAGGACAUAGAUUGAUCAAAAGCAACCACGUCCAGGAUUUUGUAGGUCAAAGAAAACACGCCGCUGAGCCAAGAAGAACUUGCUAGGCCAGUUUAAAAUCAAGUCAGACUUUUGGAGUAACAAGAGCAGCAAAAGAAAACAAGACUGUGAUGGUGAAGUAGAGAUUGAAGGUGAGAAUUAAGUAAUUCGUGACGGAGGAAGCUGAAGAGAGAUGCUCCCUAUACUGGAGAGUAUGCUAGUAAGAAGGCUGGUGGGGAUUUGAAGAAGAAGGGCAAGUUUGAGUCUUCUGCUUAUUGGCCACUUGGCUGGAAGAGCCGUGUUACAAAGCACUGGGCGGCAGCUAGGAAAGGUAUGGCUACCGUUGUGGAUGAGAAAGUAGCUGAAAUGGAAGCAUUUUUCUGCUUUCCAUUAUCUAAUGGGGGUUCCAAGUUUAAGAGGCGGCAAAAGAAAAUUGUCAGUAGCAGAAGCAAGACAAGAAGGUAGACAGAGAGGUUUGGACUUAACUAUUUCAGAGUACUACCAAAUGGACGAGACUUU
Molecule: long non-coding RNA, 1062 nt
Organism: Papaver somniferum (opium poppy)
Lineage: Eukaryota; Viridiplantae; Streptophyta; Magnoliopsida; Ranunculales; Papaveraceae
Exons: 3
Source: RefSeq, a predicted model, not a curated record